CUGGUGGUCCCACCUGCUUGCAAGUAAACUUUUAUUAUUUUAUCCAAAUUCUGUGUCUCUCUGUAUUUCUUUCCAUGACUUCCAAAACAUUUCGUUCCCUGACCAGGAAAUCAGGAAUGAAAUAGCCCUUUUGGGCCUUGGCCCAAACCCCACCAGAGGGAGCAACUCUCCAUCUCCUAGAGAGGAAAGGCGUGCCUCUGGGACUAAUUUCCUAGGCUCCCCAACAGGACACGGAGACCUGUUCACUGGUUGUGGAUCACCUGAACCUGAGACAGAGGACGACAGAAGGAGGGUUGCUGCUGCUGGUGUCUCAUCUUGUCUCUUUCCUUUGAAACAGGCCCUCCUCAUCCUAACUGCUUGAGCGUCAUGGAUGAGCUUCUGUCCAGCCACCCUGACCUACAAAUGACACCCUUGUCCGAUGCUGACCUCAUUCUGUUCAUGAGUGGGAGCAGCUUCAUGAAAAAUGGUGUUUCUCAUGCUGGAUAUGCAGUAAUCACAAAGGAUGAGGUGCUCCUAGGUGUGCCUCUUCCUAUCGGCUGGUCAACACAACGUGCUGAGCUCUGGGCACUCAUACAGGCAUUCCAAUGGGCAAAGGGUAAGAAGAUGAAUAUAUACACAGACUCUUGCUAUGCAUUUGCUACAUUGCACAUCCAUGGAAUGAUUUAUAGAGAACGAGGUCUUCUCACAGCAGAAAGCAAACAAAAAUAAAGAGGAAAUUGUACAGCUUCUAGAGGCAGUGUGAGAACCUAGCAAAAUCGCAGUAAUCCAUUGUUCAGGACAUCAUUACACAACCCAACAAUAAAGCAGACAUGGAAGCCAAGAAGGCUGCCAAACAGAAACUCCAAAUGGCUGUGCUAACAAGGACACAAGCUGCACAACAAAGUGCUCAAAAGCCAUAGAUUCCUAUAACAUAUUCAGACAAGGAAAGCAUCUGGGCUAAAGAACAGCUUGCAGGGCCGCGGAUUUAGCUCAGUGGUUUCACCGCCUGCUGCGCAAGCACAAGGACCAGAGUUUGAUACCUGGUACAAACAAAAAAAGAACAGCUUGCAGAGAAACAAGGAAACAUUUGGGUACUUCCAGGAGGGUGACUAGUUAUUCCUAAAGCUUCAUCCUAUUACUGGGUAAAGCAGUAUCAUAAGUUAACACAUGGAGAAAGACUGCACUACAAAAGCUACUAAAGAAGUAUUUUUAUAUCUCCCGUGUGGCUGCUCUAUGUGAACAUGUAUCUCAGAGAUGUCAGACCUGUCAAAAGAUAAAUCCUACAACAGGACCAAAACCACUCCCAGGGAUCCAAAGAACCAGUACUAGCUCCUUUAACGUCAUCCAAGUAGAUUUUACAGAAUUGCCACCUCAUACAGGCUACAAAUAUUUGUUAGUUUGCAUUUGUACAUACUCUGGACGGCCUGAAGCCUUCCCCACUCGAAGAGAAAAGGCUUCAGAAGUGUGUAAAGUAUUGUUAAGGGAGAUUAUUCCUCGUUUUGGCCUCCCACUUUCUAUGGGAAGUGACAAUGGACCAGCCUUUAUAGCAGAUACUUUGCAAACUUUAGUUAAUAUUACAUAUCAAAUGGUAUCUACAUACUGCAUACAGGCCACAAAUUUCUGAGAAAGUAGAAAGAAUGAAUAAAACUAUCAAAAGUACACUAACAAAGUAUUGCUCAACUACACAGGGACCAUGGAUAUGUUUGCUCCCUAUCGCUUUAUUAAAAAUAAGAAACACUCCAGGCCAUACGAGAUUCACGCCUUAUGAAAUGUUGUUUGGAAGACCUCCUUGUAUACUUAGGGACUUCACAGGCAAACUCGCACAAUUAGGGACCUCCACGAUGGAAAUGCAAAUGCUAGAAUUAGGAAAAGCAUACAACGACAUACAAGGUCAGUUAAGAACAAGGGAAAACCUACCUACUAUGACUCCUGCACACUUGAUUAAGCCUGGUGAUUUAAUCUAUGUUAAGAAUUGGAAAAAGACACCCCUACAACCUAUAUGGGAAGGACCAUAUGUUACGCUUAUCAUUACUCCCAUAGCUGUUAAAGGUGCCGAAAUCCAACUGUGGAUUCACCACUCUCAAGUGAAGAAACCCCACGCCAAGGCCGACACUGAAAGCCAAGAAAGACAAUGCACUCAAAGCCCUGCUCUCACCACGCCAGAGGCUGGUGAGUCAAGGCACAGCUGAAGAAUGGGAGCACCAACAAAGACGACAUGGACUAUUAUGCUAUGCCAAAUCUCCACUGCCCUAAGUUUCUUUGUUUUCGAACUGCCGGUGUUUAAGCCUAGUGAUGAAAAGUUUGAUGAACAAUAUGUGACUUUUAAAACAGUGAAAUGGGAACCGGAAGGCUAUCCAUUUACACUGUUCUUUAAUGCUUGCCCAAAUGAACAUUAUGGGGGAUCUGGGGCGGCUUCUGACUGUGGGGGCUAUUCUAAUGAGAAAUUACAUUCCAAAGAGAAAACACAAGUUUGGACCAACAGCACUCUUGUAGGACGAGCCAUUGGCAAUUGUGACCAUUGUAAACAAGGUCAAUGUAAUCCUAUAUCUAUGUAUAUGCCAGCCCCAUUGGAUCCUAUUUGGUAACAAAGAUAUCGAUCCACUGCUAAACAUGGACCCCAAAAGAUAAAAUGGUGGACACUGCAAAUUAAAAAGAUAUGGAAAACUGUUCCCCCGAAAUAAGAAAAACCCCUGCUCUCCGAGAAAUUUAAACUAUAUUAAAGGGGCAUCCUGGAAAUUAUACUGUCAUAGCUAUGACUGAUUUAAUUAAUAGCACCCACCAUAUACUAACAAUGAAAAAUUGGCAUCGGACUGUUGGUUAUGUGCCCCUUUAAAUUUGAUGACUUAUGAAGCCAUAGGAAUUUGCACCAACCUAACCCUUAAUACCACCAAGGAGGCUAUGCAUUCACUUCUGAAAUACCCCUCCAAGGUUACCGGAAAUGGUACAUGUUUCCUUGGGGGACAAAGGGACAAUGGGAUAAAGAACACUUGUACUAGUCUUAUUAAAGGAAAAAAACAAUUAUUUAGCACCUAA
Non-coding RNA from Heterocephalus glaber (naked mole-rat), 3012 nucleotides. The record is from RefSeq and is a predicted model, not a curated record. NCBI's taxonomy places the organism in Eukaryota, Metazoa, Chordata, Mammalia, Rodentia, Bathyergidae.